This 276-nucleotide long non-coding RNA is filed under the name Elaeis guineensis (African oil palm). Its description in RNAcentral is "long non-coding RNA (EGUI_LNC020830)". Lineage: Eukaryota; Viridiplantae; Streptophyta; Magnoliopsida; Arecales; Arecaceae. The record is from RNAcentral.
GCUGGUGGGUUUCGUCCCAUUGUAGAAGCUCGGCUGAAGUCUACCCGCUGUAGGGGUUCGGAGUAGACUGCUCGUAGCAGAAGUUCGGCUAUCGCAGGAGCUCGACUGGAAUUCUGAAGGCGGUCGACUGCCGUAAAAACUUGGAUGGGAUCUGAUUACUGUAGAAAUCUCGUUAUCGAAAAAGCUCGGAUAUUGAUGAAGUCCGGAAGGAGUUUGAAGAAUAGUUGAACAUUGUAGAAGGUCGGCUGAUAAUGAGGCUUAGAGAGCCUUUGGAGC